GUUCUACUCCCUCCGUUCGACAAAAGAUGUCUCAAGUUUGUUAAAAUUUGGAUGUAUCUAGACAUGACUUAGUAUAUAGAUGCAUUCAAAUUUAGUCAAAGUUGAGACAUCUUUUGUUAGAUGGAGGGAGUAUAAA
Brachypodium distachyon (stiff brome) is the source of this 136-nucleotide non-coding RNA. The record is from Rfam. NCBI's taxonomy places the organism in Eukaryota, Viridiplantae, Streptophyta, Magnoliopsida, Poales, Poaceae.